UGGGGAAUAUUGCACAAUGGGCGCAAGCCUGAUGCAGCCAUGCCGCGUGUGUGAAGAAGGCCUUCGGGUUGUAAAGCACUUUCAGCGAGGAGGAAGGGUUCAGUGUUAAUAGCACUGUUCAUUGACGUUACUCGCAGAAGAAGCACCGGCUAACUCCGUGCCAGCAGCCGCGGUAAUACGGAGGGUGCAAGCGUUAAUCGGAAUUACUGGGCGUAAAGCGCACGCAGGCGGUUUGUUAAGUCAGAUGUGAAAUCCCCGCGCUUAACGUGGGAACUGCAUUUGAAACUGCAAGC
This 293-nucleotide ribosomal RNA is filed under the name uncultured bacterium. RNAcentral's name for it is "partial 16S ribosomal RNA". It matches the Rfam family "Bacterial small subunit ribosomal RNA", at positions 355 to 641 of the family's 1533-position model. The record is from RNAcentral.